This 476-nucleotide ribosomal RNA is filed under the name uncultured bacterium. Its description in RNAcentral is "SSU rRNA". It matches the Rfam family "Bacterial small subunit ribosomal RNA", at positions 26 to 518 of the family's 1533-position model. The record is from RNAcentral.
AGGAUGAACGCUGGCGGCGUGCUUAACACAUGCAAGUCGAACGAUGAACCUCACUUGUGGGGGGAUUAGUGGCGAACGGGUGAGUAACACGUGAGUAACCUGCCCUUAACUCUGGGAUAAGCCUGGGAAACUGGGUCUAAUACCGGAUAUGACCUGUCACCGCAUGGUGGCGGGUGGAAAGAUUUUUUGGUUUGGAUGGACUCGCGGCCUAUCAGCUUGUUGGUGAGGUAAUGGCUCACCAAGGCGACGACGGGUAGCCGGCCUGAGAGGGUGACCGGCCACACUGGGACUGAGACACGGCCCAGACUCCUACGGGAGGCAGCAGUGGGGAAUAUUGCACAAUGGGCGCAAGCCUGAUGCAGCGACGCCGCGUGAGGAUGAAGGCCUUCGGGUUGUAAACCUCUUUCAGUAGGAGAAGCCGUGAGGUGACGGUACCUGCAGAAGAAGCGCCGGCUAACGUACGUGCCAGCAGCCGC